UGCAAAAAAAGCAUUAAUUCGAUUCGAGGAUCCAUAGCUUCCUCGGGGGAGUUUACUGUGGAGCCAACUUUUUGCAGCUGAUCCGAAUGGCUCGCGUUCGACGAAGGUUACAAGAUCGGCGGAGAGCGUGGGCGUAGUCGCCGGCCGCGAAGAAACGCGCCGAUAGAAUCUGGAAAGUCCGCCUAAUCAGCACUCGGAAUCGAGCUACUUUUUCGUCCUACUGACUCAACGGCCUACUUGCUCGCUUGCUUUUCCAACCUCUUCGCGUACAUCAACGGCGUCAUCCCAGUCGCCUGGAAAUUACAAGCGUUUAUCGACGAGAACGUUUCUUGAUGCAAGGUACCAUGAUCUUCGACUAACCGGAUCCAUAACGCUGGUGAGAGGAGCCACCGAAGCAUCCUCCCCGACGUUCUGCACCGCCUUCUCCAAAGACUUGAGCAACUGGUCCAUC
Long non-coding RNA from Osmia bicornis bicornis, 451 nucleotides. RefSeq lists it as uncharacterized. The record is from RefSeq and is a predicted model, not a curated record. Lineage: Eukaryota; Metazoa; Arthropoda; Insecta; Hymenoptera; Megachilidae. The transcript has 3 exons.